This 33162-nucleotide long non-coding RNA is filed under the name Citrus sinensis (sweet orange). RNAcentral describes it as "long non-coding RNA (CSIN_LNC003831)". Lineage: Eukaryota; Viridiplantae; Streptophyta; Magnoliopsida; Sapindales; Rutaceae. The record is from RNAcentral.
CCUAUUUCACCAGUACCUGUAGAACAAGAAGUCCAUGUGUAGCCAAUAGAGAUUCGCAGCAACCGAAAAACUCCUCCAUGUAAUCAUGACCAACAUGUUCUAUCAUUCCGCUAAAAGAGACAGUAGAAAAGCUUGUCAUGCCAGCAUGUAGAUUGUAGUCAUAUGCAUAAUUUGAUGUGGUAAAAGAACUUACCAAGAAAUAAUUCUGUCAUAUUUAUUAGCUUUAGGCAAUUGACGAUAAUCACAAAGAUAGAAUCUGAUGUGGUCCUGAUAGCAGAGAUGGUUAAGAAGUUAUGAAUAUGAAUAAUGUGAUCAUUUGAGCAAUGAAUUUUAACUAGUAUUGUGUAUCAAAUGGUUAACUGUUCUUUAUAUCUCAAUACUUAGAUCACAUUCCUCAAAAUAGUUACCUGGAGGCCUGCUUCUCUGACUUUGAUUUCUGCAUAUUUCAGUUGCUCCUCAGACAAAGUUAUGCCUGUAUACUUGCAUCCAGUUUGCUUGACUAUUUCAAUGGCUAAGGUUCCCCACCCACAUCCAAUAUCAAGAACUUCUUGCCCCUUACUAACUCUUGCCUAGAGGAGUUAAAAAUUAAAGAAAGAAUAAGCAUCUUGCAUUGAAAUUUCUGAAUGAAUUUGAGUGGACUCACUUUCUCAAUCAGAACAGAAACUUUUCUCAUUUGUCCAACUUCCAAGUCUUCAUGUUCGCUCUAUAAACAAAAGAAUGCAAGCAUCAAUAUUCAAUACAUUUUCAACUUCUCCUCGAAGGUGAAACAUAAAAUAAACUAAAGCUAUAGUACGCCACCAAAGAAAAUCACUUCUGUUUUUGAAGUGAAAGAAUGGGAUCCCAACCUUAAAUAUCGCACAUGAGUAUGUCAUUGACUUGUCCAAGAACAGAGAAAAAAGUUCAUUGUUCUGUGAACACAAAAUGGAAAGGAGUUAUAAGGACCCUUUUGUUAUAUCUGAGUAGUUAAAAUAAAGCAGAAAUUCUAUAGCCUCAACUUAGCUCACUAUAACUUAUUAACACCAAUUUUAUAAUUUAAAACUUCAUUAAUGAAUUUCAGCACUGUUUUCCUUCAAAAUAGCAAGAAUAUAGCAAGAAGCAAUGCAGAAUUUGGAAAAACAGUUUUGAGAAGCUGAAUAGAUAAUUGUUAUAAAAUUUUAUCAGCUUUAUUUGCCCCUGUCCACUAGAAUUUUUUAAGUGUUAUUCAAAUUUAUGAGAACCUGACGCUUCUAAACUUUUAUUAAUUUGCUUCCUUUCUGCUAUAUAUUUCUAGGCUUGCCUGGAGAAAUUGAUCGUAAAAUCAAUUUACCAGAUCAUAAUGACGAGAGACAUUCCUGCGAGCUUGUGUGAGAGAAUUCUUCCUUGAAAUAUUCCGAAAGAAAUAUUUUGCAGAUGCAAUACUAGCUGUGAAGAACAUUGGUGACCACCAACCCCUAAAGUAAACAGACGGCGAACAUUUAAACGUAAAAUAAUAUUCAUGACACAACUACUAGUAAUAUCAUAUUCCCUCGAUCCACCAGUCACAAGUACCUCUUCUUUUUCAAUUUCGAUGUGGAAGAAUCGAAAUCUUGGUUCGCAAUCACAAUCUGAAAUACAUUUAACAGCAAAGAAAAAUCUCCGAAAGUAGAAAUUAAAUAAUCAGUUUGGUUUUAGAUUCAAAUCUAUCAUCCUACCAGGAAGAGAUUUAGAAGACCUUCAUCUUUAUCAACAAAAGAAAAAUCACCGUUGAUAUAGGAAUCUGCGAGGCCUAAAUCAGCCUCUGUCAUAACCUGACAGCAAUAUAUGUCAGCCUCUAUGCAUUGCGAUGAUAUGAUUGUUAAAUUCAACUUAUGUAACACACUGCACGCCAUAUGAUUUAGAUUCAUAAUUUUUCCAGCAUAUGUGAUCUCUCUUAGAUGAUGCCAAUAUCAAACCUAAAUAUAGAUUGAUUACCUUCCAGUAAAAUUGGGGAUUAUGAAUUCUCAAAACAGUUUUCAGAGGACUGUUUCUGAGGGUUCCCUCGAAAGUGAAAAUGGUGCCUCCUUCCUCCAGCAAACUGCGAAGCCAAAAUGCACACUCUAUAAGUAUUUCUUCAUUAUUUCAAAAUUUAGUUCUGGAAAUAGAAAAUAAAAAAUAAAAAAAUUGUGAGGGAAACAAUAUAUUGAUUUUGGCUAUUAAAGUUUCAAUGAAGCAAAUUUAGUGCUUCAUAAAGAGACUCCUAAGUAUUUUUCCAAAAUCUUCAGUUUAAAACAAACGUUUCAAACUCUAAAUCCUUGGAUGCUCCUUCAGUCAUAAUCCCCAAAAUGCAAACUAUCAAGUGUCUAUCCCAGAUUGCUCCCUAAAUGCAUAAAAAUGAAAUUGUUUGUGACUGGAAGAAUGAAUGCAGAAUGUAUGUGCGUAGGGAAAAGAUAGACCAAACUAAAUGGAAAUAAGAAUGCACUCACAUUAAACAGCCAGUAGAGAUAUAUCGUCUCAAAAAUCUAGCAACAAAAAGUCGCGCCCCUUUUUCCAGCAGAGACGGUACCAUGUGCUUUGGGUUGCUCAAAACAGCACAAUUCUUUCCAAGCACACCAUGUGCGGUAAUCAUGCCAGCCUGCAAAAGAAACAGACUUGUAAGCAAAUAAGGACCGUUUUACCCCUAAGUUGUAGAUUGAUCAAGCAAAACUAUGAGCAAUAAAUUUGAACCAAAAAUUUUAAAAACCGUCUUCAAAGAAGCUAUUCUUUUUAAAUUGUGAUGAUCAAUUAAAGUGUAAAACUUCAUCGUACUUUUAUAUCAAAUAAAUUCGCUACAACUUUAUUGCAGAGAAUAUCUCUGUGUAUGAGUAAUAAAUUUAAGAGGAGCUAACUGGCACCUUUAGUCCAUCCUCCUGGAAGCCAUAACCUGAAAUAUUAGGAAAAUGAAAUUACUAAGAUGAUCUGUAACCGUGAAUCUAAACUGAUUACUCCAAGACCUAAGAAGACACAAGAGCCGUGGAUAAUGAUGCGUAGACAGAUGUUGCAAUUUAACAUAUUGAACCACAACAUCCGCUUUAGAAAAUUAUCCAAAAAAUUUUGAGCUUGAACCGUGUUCUUCAUCUUCUUCCAAGAAGAAAAAUGCUCACCCUGAUAAGCGCCACAAAACCAAAUUCCUCUCUUCCCUUGAAUAAGAUCAACCGCAAGUGAGGCUUUUGAUGCAGCAACAGAAGGGACUUGAUAGCUAGUUGACCAUUUGAGCGAGGUGUUUUCAGGUGUAUGAUCUGGAUUAAGUGUUGCAAGAAAAGGCACACCCGUUUCACCGAUAUUCUGCAAGGUCAAGCAUUCCAGUGACUAUCUUGAGAAAUUAAGCAGCAUGAAGAAAACUGGUGCCUGUCUUGUUUGAUAAAGUGUUUCAAAAUUUGUUUCAGGGAUGCUGUAUUACCGUCAUUGUAAAUAGAAAUUAAUAAGUUUCUUGUUUGAUCAACUAAAGAGAAGCUAAAUGGGGAGAGAACAAAAUCCACAUAUUCUGAAAGAAUAUAUUAUCAUUAUUACAAUGUUACUUUAAUCAAAAGUUACCUGAAGCACAUUGAGCCAAUAAGUCAGACAUAUUUUACCAUCAGUACUCCCCAGAAAGUUCCACGCACUCCAUGCUGCUGUGUUUUGGGGCAUGAAAUUUGUGUCACGAUGCAAGAAAAUAUCACUGCACGCCAAUAGCGAGUUAAUUAUUGAUUGUGCAUUUUAAUAUAAUAGAUUACAAACGUUCAUCAUUCAAAUUUCAAUCAAUUUCAGCAGCUAAUAGUGAACCGAAAGUUGACAAAAAGUGGUGAACCAUGAGCUCCAGUCCAUUGGCAGAAUUGAUUGUUUUCGCAAAUACUUGGAACUUGAGACAUUUUACAAUGAUCUUUGGGAAUCAUAGAUCCAGUUGUAAGUGAAAAUUAUUCUUUAAUGAAAUAGCAUCUAUUUGAUGAAAAAUGAAGGAUAGCUGCGGAAGACAUUACCUGUAAACAUAGCGGAAAGCGCCAAGUAUUCUCGUUUCAUCCAAAGUUGCUUGAUUCCCUAGUAUUCUUAAAGCAUCUGGGGCAUGGACAGCCAUUACACAGCAACUGUAGUUUUCCUGGGAACCAUCUGAAGAGACUACAGUGCAACCUGCAAGAAUUAAUAUAUUCUCAAAAUAACAAGUGGCUGUAUAUCUUGUGAAAGGUUCUCCUAUUACCAGCCGAUAAUUACAUAUAGGACUACCGUAAAUUGGUUCAUUAUUGUCUUAAAUUCAUCAUUAUAAAUCCUCCAUAAAGUACUUGAUCAGAAGCAUUUUACUAAAAAUUCAAAGAACCAAUUUAAACACUAACCUUCGUCAGCUGGAUAAACAGAAUAAACCUCACAACUGGUUCUUAUUUGACAACCCCAGCUCUGAAGUUGUCCAGUGACCUUUAUUCCGAAGAAAAAAAUAAAAAUUGGAACAACCGAAUCAAAAUCAAUUGCAAGAAUUAAUAUUAUAACUUACAUUCUUAUAAACUAGAUAAUCUGUAAACGCAAAGAAACCUUGUUGACGUAAGAAUGAGAGCGGUUUCGAAAAGUAAGCCAUUGUGGGUGGCCAAAAAGCUGCAGAGGCAAUCAAGCCAAAAUCAGGAAACAAUUGAAAAUACUUGAUAAAUCGGUUAUAUCAACACUUUUCUUCUUGCAACGAAAAUGUACCUCAAGCAAAUGAUGGUUGCGGCAGAAUGAAAGGACAGAGAACGCAGAGAAGCUCAUAGCUCGCUCAGAGGGACAAGACCAUACUGAAUCACAUAGUGGAAUCUACAAUAUGAUAUUACAGCCAGUUUGUAUCAAAUGGAAUGAUCUUAACGUUGGAACGUUAAAGCUCAAUUAUAUGACAGAGAAGGUAUCAGUGGCCUCACAAGAUAAGACUUUUGAAAUAAUUCGGAGUAGCCGCGUAACUUUAAAAACUGCCCCAACGUUUCAUUACGAUUAAUGUCUGGAUUGUUUUCCAGCUCUUCAAUAUAUCUGCAAUGCAUAAAAGAAGACAAUAACAAGUCGCUCAGAGGAACAGAGAGUCUUAAUUUCAGUAGAGAGUUGUGUCAAAUGCAUUCAAGGGUGAGUUGCGAAAAUUCCAAAAAACCAUUAGCUUCCAAUUUAUGUUAACUUAGUUAUUCUUGUCCUCUGCUGUAGUUAACCGUUUGCAAAACCUUAAUCAAAUAAUACUCGAACAUGUCAUUUUCACCAUUGAGCUCAUAAAGCUUGAGUGCAAGGCUAAGUCUAAGCGAUUAAAAACUUAAAGGGGACGUGGUGAACAUCAAUGUAAGGGCAAGGUCCAAUUCAAUUUGUAAACCUCCUAUCUCGCUAGGAUUCAAAAUCUGAUGAUCAGAAAGAGAAAGUGGCUUGAAAAUCAUUCGGCCAAAUUCAGCCAAACCCCUUGGACCUGGAUUUUACUGAUUGGUUUAGUUAAAAUUGACCUUUUAAGUAUGUUGGGUUUCUGGAGAGAAUUGGUUUGGUAAGAGAUGGCUGAGUUGUAAAUGGACCUCAUGAUACAAGAAGUGCAUGAUAGAAGCAUGUUUGCUGUCGACAAGUAGCCAUCGGCACCCAACUGAAAGGGAUUUAACCGAGACUUUUUGACAACUAACAAUAUACGUGUCAAUUUUACCUUAACUGAAGAGACUACACUGUUGCAAAACAGCACUCCGGAUCCCAUUGUCAAUUGCUCUUACAUAAGAACGUUUUGAAAUUCGGGUGGGAUAUUUCCACCCCGACUAUGUUUUUAAAUCCACUCCACUUCCGUAAAAUAACUAUAGUGAAUUCACAAUACUUUCAAAAAUAUAAAUUAACAAAAGUUUUGCAUCAUUAAUCAAUUAAAUUCUUAUAUUAUUAUUAUUUUUUUUAGGGUUAUUUCCACCCAACCCCCAAAUGUUUCGACAUUUUCCGCCGCGCACCCAAAUAUUUUGAAAAUACUCACUCCACACCCAAUUCCGUUAAUUUGACCGUUAUGUUUAACGGAACUAUUUGAAAUUUAAGUAAAUAUCUGAAAUACCCCUUAUCUUAAAUUAGAAAAGAAUUAAAUGAAAUAAAAUGUUAAUCCAAUAAUUAAUAUUUACACUAAAAAUUCUUAAUUAAAAGUAAUUAAUAAUAAUUCCAUCAAUUAAUUUAUCAAAUAAAUUUAAUUUAUCAUUAUCAAAUAAUAUUUAGGGCAUGAACUUCCAAAUUUACCCUUUGACCGUUAGAAUUAAUGGUCAAAUAAACGGAUUUGGGUGUGGAUUGAGCAUUAUUGAAACAUUUGGGUGCGCGGUGGAAUAUGUUGAAACAUUUGGGGGCAGGACGGAAUUAACCCUUUUUUUUAAGGUUUCUUUGAUCAUAUUUGAUCAUAAACUUUAAUACAAGUUUUAUUUUACGAUUUUGUUAUUAUGAUAUAAAAUGACCAAAUUGUCUCAAUAAACAUGAGUUAUUGUAUCUAAUAAUUUAUGUAUUUAAUUAUGUGACCUAUAAUAUGAUAUUUUUAAAUGAAAUCUUAUUAUUAUUUUCACCACCUUUGCAUGUAAAUGAGUUAACUUUGAUAACCCAAUAAUUUACAUGAGUAUUGUGCCAUAAAGACCCUAUGUUAGUUUAAUUAAAGUUUAAUAACUAUAAUAAUAAAGUAGCAUUAGAAACAAUAAGUUUGAUAUAAAAUUAGAAAACUAUUGAAGUUAAAGUAAAUUCUUGGUAGUUUAUCUUAUAAGGGCAAAAUAGUCAAUUUAAACUUAUGUUAAAGCAAUUUUUGUAAUUAAAUAUAAUAAAAAAUCAAAGUCACAAAAAGGUAAAUUAAGAUAAAUUUAAUUAAUUAAUUCUCCAAAGUUCUUCUUUAUUUAAAAUUUUUUAAAAAUAAUAUGCACUUUUUGUAUUUAUUUUUUGAAAAUGGGGUGGGUUUACAAAACUUUUAGGGUGAGAUGUCAUCACCCUCAAAAUUCCUAACAACUAGGCAUUCUUUCUUUGUUUCUUUCUUUUCGGAUUUGGGUGUGGAUUGAGCAUUAUUGAAACAUUUGGGUGCGCGGUGGAAUAUGUUGAAACAUUUGGGGGCAGGACGGAAUUAACCCUUUUUUUUAAGGUUUCUUUGAUCAUAUUUGAUCAUAAACUUUAAUACAAGUUUUAUUUUACGAUUUUGUUAUUAUGAUAUAAAAUGACCAAAUUGUCUCAAUAAACAUGAGUUAUUGUAUCUAAUAAUUUAUGUAUUUAAUUAUGUGACCUAUAAUAUGAUAUUUUUAAAUGAAAUCUUAUUAUUAUUUUCACCACCUUUGCAUGUAAAUGAGUUAACUUUGAUAACCCAAUAAUUUACAUGAGUAUUGUGCCAUAAAGACCCUAUGUUAGUUUAAUUAAAGUUUAAUAACUAUAAUAAUAAAGUAGCAUUAGAAACAAUAAGUUUGAUAUAAAAUUAGAAAACUAUUGAAGUUAAAGUAAAUUCUUGGUAGUUUAUCUUAUAAGGGCAAAAUAGUCAAUUUAAACUUAUGUUAAAGCAAUUUUUGUAAUUAAAUAUAAUAAAAAAUCAAAGUCACAAAAAGGUAAAUUAAGAUAAAUUUAAUUAAUUAAUUCUCCAAAGUUCUUCUUUAUUUAAAAUUUUUUAAAAAUAAUAUGCACUUUUUGUAUUUAUUUUUUGAAAAUGGGGUGGGUUUACAAAACUUUUAGGGUGAGAUGUCAUCACCCUCAAAAUUCCUAACAACUAGGCAUUCUUUCUUUGUUUCUUUCUUUUCUUUUUUUUUUUUUUUUUCAAUGAUAAACACUUAUUAUUGGAUUCGGAUAUCUAAACUAGGAUAAACACUUAAGAAAUCAAAGAAAACUAACUAUUGCAAUUCAUAAAAUACCAUGAAAUUUUAUAUCAACUAAUACAUGUUGGGAUAUUACCUCGAAAUUAUUUUUAGAAAAGAUAAAGGACUUAAAACUGAAAUUUUGCCACUUUGAUGUUAGACUUACAUUUGAACCCUCACCUUUAUACUGUUUUAUUUUAUAUUUAGUGUUUCUUCAUUUUGGGCCCCUUGAUGAUCUGAUCAAAAACCUAUGCUUGCCACAAGAGUCCUCACACAUAUAAGUAGGUCACUCGGUAUCGUGCCCAAGAUAAGUUAAUUAUGAUAUUGUGGGACCUAAUAAUGUGACCUAACCACAAGUCUGCUAGAAGCCAUGCAUCUUAGGAAGAAGGCUUAUGGAGCUCUAUCGAAAGCACAUUAGAUAAGGCUGAGGCAGAAAACAGUAUAAGCAAACUAUCUGCAUCUAAUACCAGUUAAGGGUAGGAGAAAAAGUCCACUCGGUCCGAAUUUGGGUGUUUUGGGCCGAAUUUGACCUGACUAGGCCUUAUUUUCUAAACACUCACAGUCAUGCUCAGGCUUCAUUUAAAAAGCCCGAGUUCAUUCUAAUAAAUGUUUUUAAAAAAUAAAAUAAUUAAAAUACUCAUUUUAAUACAUAACAUAUAUUUAAAAUUUUAAAACCGUUUGGCCCAAAGAUUAAAGCCUAAAUCUAAUAAAAAAUAAAAUUUUAUAUACUAUAAAUUUGUUAAAUUUAAUGAAAAAAGUCUCUAAAAAGUGCAAACGCAUAAAUUCAAGCUUUUAAGUGCGACCGAGGCUUGAAUUUUUGCGAACCCUUUUAUAAUUGGUAUAGAGAUGAGUAAGAAUGAAAUAACACGUAUAAUUUCAUCCAAAUCCUACAAGAUAUGGAUAAUCAAGGAGAGUCCAAAGUCUCUUGUCAUCUCUAUUAUAAAUAGAGUAUCUUUACUAACUAAACGAUAUAGCUAGCACAUGUACACACAAUAAGCAAGCAAAGAGGUCUUGCCUUUUGUAAUUGUUCUCUCAAAAUAGUGUAAUUACUUUCAUAUUUCUCUUGUGGACGUAGGUUAAUGUUGAACCACAUAAAUUCUCGGUGUUAUGUUUACUUUCAUAUCGUCUACACCUUUAGUAGAGCACAAAUGUAUUUUUAUGAAAUAACUAUUAAUCACAAUCCUCGUAAAAAGAUGUGCACAAAAUCAUAUCAACAAUAAAUUAAGUCCACUUGAAAGAUAUAUACUAUGAAUUGUCAAAAGUAUUCCCAAACCUACCCUAAAUAAAUCGCCGCACAUACAUUUGGUAGAUAUUUUUAUUAUAAGUAAUAAACAUGAUCUAAGCUCUCCUAAAUUAAUUACUUUUAAAUCUCUUUAGCCACAUGUUUAAUACAGCGUGUAGUUAGAAUUUACUGCUGUACGGCCAAGGCGGAUGUACGGUACAGCAGUACUAGAUUUAUAAUUAUAUGUUUCAUCCCUACCACCAAAGUUAACAGGAAACGCAAAUAUCUUUUUGUCCAUUUAUUAUUGUUGCCCUCUUCCUAGAAUGAUGUGAAACAAGUUAUUGAAUUUUUUUAAAUUAAAUCCUUUCUAAUUUGAUUUGAAAAAAAAAAAGAAGAUUCUAUAACAAUUCCCAUUUGAUCAUUUCAUUCUUCAGAAUCUCUGUGGCCUUAAAUAAGUAAAGCUUUCAACGUUAUUUUAUAUUUAAAAAAAAAUUAAAAUUCAUCUUGUUUUAACUUGCGGAUAUAAUUCCUUUUCCAACGUUUGUCCAAAAAAUAAAAAACCCACAAAAUUUUAUGAUAGAAAAUAUCGAUAAAUCAACGAAAAAUAACCUUGAAGGGUUUUGGAGCCAUUUAUUGCCUCUUAUCGAUUUUGAUUCGAUCAAAAUGUUGUGCUGGACACCGAACAAAAACCUCAAACCGCAGAAGGUAUGGAUGGUUAAUAGCUAUGAAAUAAUUGUGAUUUUUGGGUUCAAUUUAGUCUAUGAAGGAGAGUUUCAUGAGCGACAAAGGAUUUCAAGAGUAUAUGAAGAAACUGUGCGAAAGAGAAGACGAGCAGCAGGUUCAUGUUUAAUUACCAAAACUAUUGUUUCAGUUAACUUUUAACCGUAGGGAUGAAAUGAAUAAUUAAAAAUCUAUUAAGAAUGUAAAUUAUAAAAAUUAGAUGUACGAGGGAUGAAACUGCUAGUCUCCUUUCAAUUCGGUUAUUUGAACCCAUUAAUUUCUUCUCUACACCAUCCUUUUUUAUUAAGAAUUUUAUUAUUUAAAUAAUUUUUGAUAAAAUUACUCAAUUAACUAUUUUUUUCAUCCUCAAUUCCUUCAUAUAUUUUCUUUUAACUACAAACUUUAAAUAAUUAGUUUCGUUAUAUGCUAUCAUAAACUGGAUCAAAGCCCAUGAUUAAAAAAUGAACAUCACCAGAUUUUUUCAGCUGUGAAGGUUAAUGAAUAUUAAGAAAUCAAUUCUUAUCAAAACCACAAAAACUAGUGAAUAUCAAGAAAAAAAGUUCUUAUAUACAGAAAGCACGAAAUAGAGAUUAUGGUUUAUUCAUAGACAAAAAAAAAAUAUCCAAAAGAGAGUAAAAUUGAGAACUUAGUUUGUAGAAUGUGAGAAGAGAAAUACUAUGCGAUCAUGAUGUAGAGAGAGAAAGAGAUUAGUGAAAGAUAAUUUUGAGAUUUUUAAAUUUUAACUUUUAAAUAAUGACUUUUUUCCUAAAAAUACAUAUAGAGAUUAGUUUAGUGAGUUUAAAUAACCCCACCAUUUUUAGAAAAUCAUAUAUAUAUAUAUAUAUAUAGCGUCCAUAUUUUUUUUUUAUACGGACACGCUAGCUUUUAAACCUUGUGGUUUAAUAAAGAUAUAUUUUAAUGCUAUUAAACCGUAUAAUACAAUAAAAAAUAACUCUAUUAUACCGCACGACUUAAUAGCUAAUCCGCAUUAAAAAAAAAAAAAAAAGUAAUGGCGCCCGAACCUAUAUAUAUAUCACGGAUUUAUUUUAGAUAAUGAUCCAAUAUUCUUACGUUAACUUUAACUAUAUGCUAUGAAAAUUAUUUUUGUUAGCGCUAAAAGCAAAGUAAUAACAGCUUACCUUAGGGCAUCAUCCUUGAAUUGAUUUAUUUCCCAAAGCAUUUGCCAAAAAUAUGGAUUGAGCAAAUUCUUCUUUUGAGCAAACAAACUGGAAAAACCAUUUCUGGUACCCCAUUCAAAACCUUGGCCUUUGUCUAAGCUCACUGAAAAUGACAUGUCUGAUGACUUCAUAUCAACCCCUAAGCUAUCGAAAAACUCCAUCGUAUUCGGAGAUGUCGCCUGUCAAAUCACCGGAAUCUUUGCUCAAUAACUCAGCAUUUAAAAAUAAUAAUAAUAAUAAUAAUAAAAAUAGUAUGUUUGGCGCAUAGUAAAAAAUGAUUUUGAAGUUUUUUACGGCCUACUCAGGACUCAAACAUGGACAGCUAAAACUGAAAAAUAAAAUUGUCGAAAACUCGCCCAACCAAACCCUGGUGAUACUCAAAAACUCAGCUUUAUUUACUUGCAAGUUUUAUUUACAAGAAUGAAAAAAUGCAUCACAUUAUUGAAUUAAUAGUUUUCAGAUUCAAACUUUUCUUUUUGCCAACAAAUUAAAGCAAUGUAAAAUGAAGAGGCAAAAGGAAUAAGUUAGAGUAACACUUACAUGAUUGAAGAGCGUGAAACCAAGGUCUAGAUCAACACCGUCGAUGGUGAUAGUCUUUGCAUGGCCGCCGAGGGAAUCCUCCUUCUCAUACAGCACAACAUCAACUCCUGCUUUUGCAAGAACAAAAGCUGAAGCCAAUCCACUAAUCCCACCACCAAUCACAGCAACUUGCAUUUUUGUCGACAUCAGUUAGUUCCCCGCUAACUUGGGACUAAAAAAUUGCUUCAAAAUCUUAUUUAUCCUGCUAAAGAGACAACAAUAAAAAAAGAAUUAAAGCUUUGUUUAAUUUUGAAUUUGAAGUUGGACAGCUGCAACUUGAAACUACAACACUAAAAUAUUUAGUAAAUGCUACAUACUGCGGCUUGAAAACUAAGUUGUUUUGAUCAAUCACUUGUAUAACGAAAAAAUUAUAAUAUUUUUAUUAUUUUUGUAAAAAUUAUUAUUUAAAAAUCAUAUUUAUCAUGAACUAUCAAUUUCUUUUAUAACUACAACUUCUUUUUCACCUCAAUAUCAAACAUGCAUCGUCGUAAAUAUAAAAUGAUUUGAAAAAUUGAAGUAGAAUAAAACCUCUACAUAUACAUAAUAAUUUUUUUUUUAAUUGUAGUGAGUCCGUUAUAUUAAAGCUCCCCUAACUUGCAAAUCACAGAAAUUUAUCAUAAAACUUAAAGAUGACUGAGAUGAUCACACUUUGAGCAUUUAAAGCAUUAAUUAGGAACUAGGAGGUCUUGAACCGAGUAGAAAAUUUUAAAGAGCAUUAUGUACAUGUCUCACAAAACUAAAUCGACUAUUGAAUGUUUAAAAUUUAUCCAUACAUCUAAAUUAUUUCGUUAGCACUUAGCAGUACCAUUUCUACAACAUGAUGCUUACAAUUAAGUCCUGAAGUCUCUGAAGAUCCUUAUAUAUAUAAAAUCAGAUCAUCACUAGGCAUUCUUAUGUCACUUGUUGGAUGAGCAAACCUGCUACAGUGUUGCGGCACACUGAAGAGUUUAGCCAAAAAUACUCAUAUCCAUUAAUGAGAUUAUCUCACAUUGUUCCAAAACCUAAGUAUAAAAGCUUGAAGCUACACUCAACUCAUAAUUAGCUAACUUUUGAAUAUGAAUUAGACUCAUGGAUUUUCAAUGUUGUUUUCAAGAUCAACUUGUGCAUAAAUAGGUUUAUGUUAUCUUUUUACCUAAUAAUGAUCUGGCAAAAAAGACUAGUUAACUCGUGCAUUCAGAAAAUUUUUAUUACUUAAUAGACAAAUUUACAUUAAUCUUCUAAACACACACCAAACCAAAAAAUAAGAUUCAAUUUAAUGUAAACAUAAGUCUUUAAAUUAUGUAGGAUCUUUUUCCAAUAUUAAUUUUACAAUGAGUGCACAACUUUAUUUCCACAUCCAUCUAAGAGUAAAUCCUAAAUGUCAUGCAUCUUUUGUGGAGGCAUACAGAUGUAAUUUCACACUGACCAUAAGGCUUCAAAAUGGAGUGUAAAUUUGCAACUGAUUCAAGAUAUGCUCAAAGUUGUCAGUGGGCUUCUCAAUUCGAUGAUUAUGCAUCCCUUCGUAAGUAGUCACUACGAUGCCUUCAUCAUUUGUUAGACGUUGAACUUGCUUCUUUACAUUGCACCCUUCGUGUGUACAACGGUAGUAGCUUCUGCAUACCAAAUUUAAUAAUCGUAUUAUGAAUUUCAUUACUCUCACUAAAAACUAUCAUUAACUGAUCAUGACAUAAUUAAAUGAUCUGUAUUGUAUGUUUAUAAUUACAACAGCUGUAUGUGCUUAAUAUAAUUCUCGGCACCUCAAUUUCUAGAUGCAUCAAAAUGGAAAUGGAGAGUGGAGGAAUUUACUGGAAAGAGAGUCGUAUGUUUCAUUCUGAACCUACCUAUCUGAACGUGGAUAUCAAAUUAGAUUAGGUUACAUGGAAAUAACUGUGAGAUCUAUAUUGAUAAAUUCAGUUGAUUCAUUUUUUAUUUUCGGAUAUCUAAAUCAAAUUCCUGGGGCUUCUCUCUGCGUAUAUGUGCUUGUGUGUGUAUUGAUAUUGCAGUGUCAUAGAAACCCAAGAUCUAAUUAGCAGAUUUUCUUAUUUGGACAUCUAAGAAAGUCAGUGUAUUAAUUUGAUUACACCUUUUACUACAGUCUUUAGAGUACAUUUUGAGAAAACCUAAUAUGCCCUAAUUUGUUGUACAAAAAAGAAACAGAGAGUUGAAACUGUGAUCUAGAACUCUUGCCUGUCUAAGUUCUUCUCUUCCAAAACGAUUCGUACAGAAAGGAAAUUCGGGGGAGAGUGAGAAACCCUAGAACUAAAUUAGAACUAAUUAAAAUCUAAUUCCUUUACUUAUGUGGCAACCAAGCAAGGGCUCCUGCAUAUAUCUUACAUGGAUCCGGAGCUAACACUAAUCUGAAAAGAACAAUUGCACUAAGCUCUUAUCCCCGCAACCAAGAUAAAUUGAUUUCUUUAUCAAAUGAAAUCUCACUUUUUGGAGAGUCCUUAAAGCAGUAAUAAGGCUAAGAUGUACUUGAAUAUAUUAUACUAGGCAUGAAGGUAACAAUAUCAAAAACCAACUCAAAAUCUAUGAAAUCAAGAAGUUGUACCCAAAAAUCCUAGACUAACCCUCCCAAAACUAUAAAUCUUACGUUAGAACCAUGGUCCAAGAAUCAUGUGUCAGAACUACAAAUAGUCAAAAAGGAUGGUGCUUGGAAUCUUGAAUCCUGCAUCAGAACCGUGAGACCAUGGAGACAUGGAAUCACUGACCACAAGUCCAAGAAACCAUUGAUCACAUAAAAUCUAUUUCCCCAGAUAAUAAUUUUAACAAACAAAUAUUAAUGCUACCCCUUUAUAAAGUAUUUUGUUAAUCAAGACCUGAUUAAGACUAGAUUUUGAAUAAAUAAGACUGAAAUUGAUGAGAAAUGAUAAAACAAGAAUAACACAAAGCACUCAGAAUUGAAGAAAAUUUCAUCAAAUUUAUUACACCAAAUCACUUGGAAAUUGAUAAAAAUAAAAUAAAAUACAAAGAGGGUCAAGAGCUUUCAAUCAAAACUAAAAUUACAAGGAUAGGUUAUAAAACCAAUUCACACAACCCACUGAAUUGAGCAGUGCUUAGCCUUUUUUUUUUUAUAAUAAUUUUGGGUUUUGUUGUAACGACCCUAACAGACUUCUGUUUUGUCUUUUGUCAACAUCAACCUAGGCAAAAAUCACAAAGACCCAUUAAUGGAUGUUAUUGUUCACUCGUGCCUACUAAUGUUUAGAUGUUAGCAAAAGGUCUAAACUAAUUUCCGAAACAGCCAAAAUUUGUCUUAUAAUUUUUGUCCUUUCAGUCUUUGUGAAGCUAGAUCACCUCAGAGACUUUGUUUUGUCCAUUGAAGAUUCUUUUCUCCUCAAAUUUUGCAGUAUUGGAUUUUGAUGGCGUGGUGGAGUAUUUUGUGGGUCUGCUAAGGGAUAGGAGUGAAUUAGGUGAGUCAACUUAGGAAAGUUGUGUGUCAGAUUUGUGUGCACUGUGUCAUGAGGAAGUGAGCCCCACUAUGUGUGAAGAAGCAAAAAGCAUACACUAGUCAAUCGCAGGAAGAUUUGUUGAUAUGAAGAUUUAGUGGUUUCAACACAUUUUCAGGUUCGAUUCUAGUCACUAGCAGUGCAGUUUUACUUUUUAUGGUCGUUUGAGGUUGUCAAAGUAAAUUUUAUCAAAUUUAUUUACUAUUUGUGAAAUUCCUUUAUGAAAUUAUGUUUUAUAAGAUUUAUCUAAUUUCAAGUGAACUAGCAAAGAAAGUAUAUCAAGUCCUCUAAUUAAACCAACAAUACAGGAAUACGUUGAGUAGAAUUAACUAAAAGAGAACAGAUUCAGUAUUGAUAUGCUAAAGGAAAGCUUCAUACCGAUUGCUGAAUACAACAACGUUGCCAAGACAUGAAAAUACAAUCUACAAUAUUAUGAGGGAAUUUUCAAUCAAAAUACUAUUAAAUCCAAUGAAGCAUAAAAAGCUCCAUGCAGUCUAUAAAGUUAAAAGCAUUUAUACACUGGAGUAAUUUUUUAAGAACUUACAUGAUAAUCUCCAAGUGUCCAAGACUUGAAACACACAACACAAUAAUCAAGAUAAUACUCUCAUGUCCGAACGAACUUUUCAUUGAAUCCUAAAGCAAGAAUUUCACUAAGAAAGAAUUUUGUAGCAUCAACAUUUAAAAUUAUGGUAAUGCUAUGUUCAAGUAGCUAGAAACGACCAUAUGACAAGUCAAAUACAAAUUAACUACAAUGACAAAUAAAAGAAAGUUUUAUUCGUGACUUUAAUGAAACUGUACAAAAGAGGUGUCUAUGUAUAUAUAGGCUCUAUAACCUAACUAGACUAGAAAAAUAAGUAUGAAUAAGUUAACCUUAUACUAUUUUUAUUGCCUAUGUUUCUCUCUGAACUUCUGCCUCCAACGUCUAAGUUUUUGGUAGUAAUGGGUUUCUAUAUUUUCCAGAUGCUCCACGCUGUAUCAGAAGAAGUGCAAUUAAUUUUGUGAAACAAUUAAGCUGGAAAACAAAAAUAACACCAAAUGCUAAACUAAGCCAACUACUUAUUAGACAGCUUACAACAUAAUCUGGAUGCAAAAGCCAUGGAUGAUGUUACUCUACUUAAACACUUAAUGAUGGAAUGUAACCUCCGAGGAAAAUAUAUUCCUUUCUGAAAUCUAAAUUCAACUUGUACUCAUUGUAGCACUUAUUUGGUUUUGAUAUGAACUAAAACAGAUCAAACAACAAUUCAUCAUUAGCAACAUAUGAAAUGUCAAGGGAAGAAAAAUCAGAUCAAAUCGGCUCAUUAAUGCCUGUAAAACAAGAAGUCCAUGCUCAGCCACUAGUGACUUGCAGCAACCAAUAAUUCCUCCAUAUAUUCACGACCAACUCCUUCUAUCAUCCUACUGGAAAUGCCAUUGAAAAUCAUAAAUAUUAUUAGCAUCUUGUGUUAGUAUAUAGAUAUUGCUGAAAUGUGAACCAAAAUCUGCGUUCUAAUCCAACCGACCUUGGUAUGGGGACUAGUGUUGGGAUUGCUGGACCCAACGGUGUUUGGAAAAUCUACUCUGCUUCCAGCUGGUGAUUCGGCUCCAGUGGAGGGUGAAGUGCGAAGGAGCCAGAAACUAAGGAUUGGGAGAUUGAAUCAAACACGACCCUAGCUUUCUACCCUCCCGAUAAUUUGUACUUAGAGUAAAGGUGUGUUUGGGAUUGAGAUUGAGCAGCUGUAGCUCAAAAGUUACAACACUAAAGUAUUCGGUAAACACUAGUUGCUGUAGUUUAGAAGAUAUGUUGAUAUAAUUUUUCACUUGUAUGAUAGAAAAUCUAUUAUAUUUUUAAUAAUUUUGUCAAAAAUUUUAUUUAAAAUUUAUAUUUAUUACAUAUUAUUAAUUUUUGUUUUAUAGUUACAAUUUUUUUUCAGAGCAACUGUAAUUUAAAAGUUAUGGCACCUCAAUUCUAAGAAGGACCUAAGAAGACUAUGACUACGGAUUCCAAUUUUCCCAAUUUUAGCACAAAAUUCGGGAGGGAUUGUUCUGGUCAGUCAUGAUUCAAGACUCAUCUCACUUGUCUGCCAGGACGAAGAAAAAAGUGAAAUUUGGGUUGUAGAAAAUGGAACUGUCAUGAGAUUUCCAAGAACAUUUCAAGAGUACAAGGAGGAUCUACAAACAGAGAUCAAAACAGAGAUCGAAGAUUUUGUUAAUUUGAAGACUCAGUGGAUUCAGAACGUUUAUAAGGUCCCUUUCCAGUCAUUAACGUUUCAGUUUUUAAGGAUUUGAGGUUAUCAAAGUAAAAUGAAAUUAUGUUUUAUGAGAUUUAUCUAAUUGCAAUUGAAACAGCGAAAAAAGGAUUUGACGCCCUCCUACAACAAACGAUACAGGAAUAAAUUGAGCAGAAUUAAUUAAAAGAGAACGUAAUCGAUACUGGUAUGCUGAAGGAAAGCCAUCCCAUGGAUUGCUGAAUGCAACAACGUUGCCGGGACGUGAAAAUACAAUCUUCAAUAUUAUGCGGGAAUUCUCCAUCAAAAUACUGUUAAAUCCAAUGAAGCAUAAAAUGUUCCUCGCAAUCUAUAAAGUUAAAAGCAUUUAUACACUGAAGCAACUUUUUAAGAACUUACCUAUUAAUCUCCAAGUGUCCGAGACUUGAAACCGGCUGCAUAAAAAUCAAAAUAAUAUUCUCAUAUCCGAAUGAACUUUUCAUUGAAUCCUAGAGCAAGAAUUUCACUAAAAAAGAAAUUUUAUAACAUCAAGAUUUAGAAUUAUGGUAAUGCUAUAUUCAAGUAGCCAGAAAUAACUAUAUUAAAGUCAAAUGCAAAUUAACUAUGCUCACAAUUAUAGUAUUUUAAUUUAUUACCUUUGUUUUCCCAUCGAAAAUUUUCUCCAACAUCUGAGUGUCUGUUAGUAAUGGAUUCCUCGAUUUUCCAGAUGUUCAAUUCAUUUAGUGGAAUAAUUUAGUAGAAAAAGAAAAUUAAGACGAAAUCUUAAACUGUACCAAUGGACAACUAUAGCUUAUACCAUAAUCUGGAUGAAGAAGUCAUGGCUGAUGUUACUCUCCUUAAAGACGGCAAGCAUCCACUGGGGAAAAUAUAUUCCUUUAUAAAACCUGGACCUAGACUGUGUUCAUCGUAACACUGAUCUGGUACUGAUAUGAACUCAAAAGGAUCAACCAACAAUUCACCAUUAGCAACUUAUUUAAUGUCCCAAAGAAAUGCAAUUAAUAAAUUCUCAUCAAACUGGCCAACGGGCCAUAGUUUCUUCAUUUGUCCCUCCCAUUUCACCAGUACCUGUAGAGCAAGAAAGUCCAUUUUCAGCCAGUAGAGAUUCGCAGCAACUGAAAAGCUCCUCCAUGUAAUCAUGACCAACCGCUUCUAUCAUCCCGCAUAUAAAGACCGUAGAAAAACUUGUCAUGUCAGCAUGUAGAUUGUGGUCAUAUGCAUAAUUUGAUGUGGUAAAAGAACUUACCAAGAAAUAAUUCUGUCAUAUUUGUUGGCUUUAGGCAGUUGACGGUAAUCACAAAGAUAUAAUCUGAUGUGUCCUGAUAGCAAAGAAGGUUAAGAUGUUAUGAAUGUGAAUAAUGUGAUCAUUUGAGCAAUGAAUUUGAACUAGCAUUGGUGUAUCAAACGAUUAACUGUUAUAUCUCAAUACUGAGAUCUCAUUCCUCAAAAUAGUUACCUGAAGGCCCGCUUCCUUCACUUUGAUUUCCGCAUAUUUCAGUUGCAGCUCAGACAAGGUUAUGCCUGUGUACUUGCAUCCAGUUUGCCUCACUAUUUCAAUGGCUAAGGUUCCCCACCCACAUCCAAUCUCAAGAACUUCUUGCCCCUUUACUAACUCUUGUCUAGAGAAGUUAAGAAAGAAUAAGCAUCUUGUAUUGAAAUUUCUGAAUGAAUUUGAAUAAACUUACUUUCUCAAUCAGAACAGAAACUUUUCUUAUUUGUCCAACUUCCAAGUCUUCAUGUUUGCUCUAUAAACAAAUGGAUGCAAGCAUCAAUAGUCAAUACAUUUUCAAUUUUUCCUUGAAGAUGAAAGCAUAAAAUAAAUUAAUGAUGUACACCACCAAAGAAAAUCACUCCUGUUUUCGAAAUAAAAUCAUGAAAGAAUGGGAACCUAACCUUAAAUAUCGCGCAAGAGUAUGUCAUUGACUUGUCCAAGAACAGGAAAAAAAAAAGUUCAUUGCUCUGUCGACACAAAAUGGAAAAGAGUUACAAGGAACCUUUUAUUAUCUCUGAGUAGUUAAAGUAAAGCAGAAAUUCUAUAGCCUCAAUGUUGGUUGUAAAGUGAAUACAAACACCUCACUCCAAACGGCAGCGUUUUUCAGUUGAUUCAAGUCUUAAUUGGCUCACGUGACAAGCACGGCUCUUCAUUAAGUUGAAACGGCAUUGUGUGUGAGCGUUUUGAAGACACUGGGUUUUAGUUAGAACACGCGAGCAAUCACGUGAGCACAAAUUGAAGCCAAGUUCGUUAUAACAGAAUCAACACACACGUAUUAUCAAAAAAAAAAAAAAAAAGAAUCAACACACACGUUUCACAAAGCUGUGCAUUCUGGGUUGUUAAGAUCGUUAUGAAACUGGUAUAUAAGCUAGUGUCUUCAGAGGGAGAGAUUGAGAAGAAUUCCAGAGAGAAAGUGAAUACUUGUUCUUUGUUCUCGAAAUCUCUGUAACAAACAUCUUGAAUCUUUCAAUAAAGCCUGCUGAUGGAUUCACCCGUGGAUGUAAGCCAUUAAUGGCUGAACCACGUUAAGAGCUCUGUGUUCAGUUGUUUCUUCUUUGUUUUCUAAUUGCUUGUGUUCUUGAUUUGUUAAUAAUCCUCUGUUUGAGUCAAGUGAAGCUUAUUGAUUCUUUCAAAUCGACCUAAUCUGUUACAUGCAACUUGAUUGAUCUUGUUAAGGAUCUUGGGGAGAAUCUGAUUUUGUGAGUAGUUUAAUCGAAUCAGAUUCUACACUCAACCUUGGCUCACUAUAACUGAUUAAUCCUAUAGAUAAACACCAAUUUUUUAUAAUUUAGAACUCCAUUGAUGAAUUUCAGCAUUGUUUUCCUUCAAAAUAGGAGGAAGUAAUGCAGGAAACACUGUUUUGAGAAAUCCAUUAAUGUAUUUGCCCCUGUCAACUUUGAAUUUUUCAAGCGUUAUUCAAAUUGACUAGAACCUAUGAUUGAUAGUAAACGAAAUUUACCGGAUCAUAAAGACGAGAGACAUGCCUGCGAGCUUGUGUGAGGGUAUUUUUCCUUGAAAUAUGCCGAAAGAAAUAUUUUUUUGUUUUUUUUGGUUUUAACCACGAGGUAUUCUGGGAAGGGCCCCAACUAUGGGAGGUACCUUUAAGCCCAUACCACAACCCAGACUAGAAGUCCCCGCUCGAACCGAGAGGCACAGGUUCUCCCAACAAAGGCGACUUCCCUGCAACUCGAACUGAGGAGCAAACCCAGUCAAGCCACUAAAGAGGACUUCAUUGACAGUGGAGCCAACACUUUGUUGGUCCGAAAGAAAUAUUUUGCAUAUGCAAUACUAGCUGUGAAGAACAUUGGUGAUCACCAACCCCUAAAGUAAACAGACGUGAACAUUUAAACGUAAAAUGAUAUUCAUGACAGAACUACUAGUAAUAUCAUAUUCCCUCAGUCCACCAGUCACAAGUACCUCUUUUUCAAUUUUGAUGUGGAAGAAUCCAAAUCUUGGUUCGCAAUUACAAUCUAAAAUAUAUUUAUCAGAAAAGAAAAAUCUCCGAAAGUAGAUAUUGAGUAAUCAGUUUGGUUUUAGAUUCAAGUCUAUCAUCUUACCGGGAAGAGAUUUAGAAGACCUUCAUAUUUAUGAACAAAAGAAAAAUCACCAUUGAUAUAGGAAUCUGCAAGGCCUAAAUCAGCCUCUAUCAUAACCUGACAACAAUGACUAAGGCUCAUCAGAUAUGAGAAUUUUUUCAUUAAAAUGAAUGAUAUGAUUGUAAAAAUACCACUUAUAAUAUACCGCCCGCAAUAUGCUUUAAAUUCAUAAUUUUCCUGCAUGUCAUCUCCCUUAAAUGAUGCCAAAGUCAAAUGUGAGUAAAGAUGAAGUACGUUCCAGUAAAAGUGGGGAUUGUGAAUUCUCAAAAUAGUUUUCAGAGUGCAGUUUUUCCGGGCUCCCUCAAAAGUAUAAAUGAUGCCACUUUCCUCCAGGAAACUGUGAAUCCAGAAAGCACUUUCUAUAAACAUCUGUGUAUUAUUUCACUAUUUAGUUAACAAACAUAACCAAAUUCUAAAUCUUUAAAAGGCAGAAUGCUCUUUCAGUUUUAAUCCUUAAAAGGCAUACUACCAAGCACCCAACCCAGAAAGCCCCGUGCAGAGCCUAAAUAUGGAAUUGUCUGUUACUGGAAGAAUGAAAGCAUUCGUGUUGUGAAUUUUCGGUUCUCACCCAAGAUCUCCACUAGCAAUAUGUCAAACAAAAAAUAAAUAGAAAAAUAAAAUGGAGAAUACACCAAUCACACAACACAAAAUUUAUGUGAAAAAUUCCUUUACUGAAGUAAAAAACCACUAGCUACCAAAGAUGAUGAGAUAAAAAUUUCACUAUGUGAAUUAUUAUGAUCACACUCUCAAAAUAUUUUAUCUCACACCCAAACCCCACUUACACCCAAAUUUCUCCACAUACGCAGAGGGCUCUCUUUCUCUAACUCUUUAUUAUUGUCUUCCGUCUCUUGUCUUUACACUUGAGUGAGCUCUCAAUUUAUAGAUGUUGGGACUUUCGCAUUGUCAAAGAAAAUGGGCCAAAAUCCGGAUGAUCAAAUGUUACUACCACCAAAUUCGCGUGAUAAUUUGGAUCAAGUGAUGAGCAGAUAAUAUAUAUGCAUAUUUUACCCUUUAUUAAAUAUUUACUAGUUAUUUUUAUAUAUUAUUUUUAGUUAAUUGAAUUAUUUUAUUGAACAGGAUAAUGAAUUGAAGAUCGAAAGUAAUAUGUGCUUAAAGAUAUCAAAACUAGAGAAAAUUGAAGAUUAUUUAGGUUCAUUGCCGUGGGGAUUAAGGCCAAAUUACAAAUAAAUUCAUUGACCCAAUUCAUAACAAAAUCAGAUGAUGAAUAAUAGCCAAAACAGCACCUGGUGCUGCUUUUAACCCAAAAUACAACAGCUGUUCAUCACCCAGAAAAUUUUCUAGGUGCUUUCACGCUGCUGUUUGCUGUUUUAACCCAAAAACAACAGCUGCUUGGCACUUAGAAAAUUUUAUGGGUGCAGUCAUGCUGCUGUUCGAGGUGCUGUUUUUAACCUAACUACAGGUCCGUUUGGGGCAGCUGCUCUCCAUGCUUUAUUCUAGGGGAUAUUCCCCUAAAAUAAAGCGAUAUCCCCUAGAAUAAAGCAUGGGGAGCAGCUGCCCCAAACGCUCUCUACAGCAGUAGAUCAGCAGCCAGAAAAUUAAAAACAGCACCUGGUGCUGCUUUUAACCCAAAUACAGCAGCUGCUUAGCACCCAAAAAAUUCUCUGGGUGUAGUCAUGGUGCUGUUUGCUGUUAAAAACAGCAUCAAUUCAAUUUCUGAAUGUUGGAUUGUCAAAUUAUAUUUAUUAAAUUUUUAAUUCUGUGUUCAUUUUUUUCCUUUGAAUUUAUAGUUCUUUAAUAUAUCCAUGUGUAAACAUUUUGAUUAGACACAGGUUCUAGAUUUGAGUCCAAAUAACUUUAAAGGGCCAUGUUAACUCACGUGUAUAUAUAUAUAUAUAGCAAGUUACGUUUAUGUAUAGCAAGUUACGUUAGCAAGUUACGUGUUAUAUGUUUCCUAGUUUGAUAGGAUUUCCUUUCCUUGUGAACUAGGGUAAUUCUUAGGUGUAUAUAUAUAUUGAUCAAUAAGAGUGCAGAGGGAAGACUAUGAAAGCCACUGCUAUUUUUACAUCGUAAAAUUCUACAUGGUAUCAGAGAGAGAUGGAAGACCAAACUCAAACAAAAACAAAAGAUAAAGAGGCUAGCGGAAGUGGAUUGGGCAAGACAAUGAUGUCUCCUUACUUCCUCUCGGCCAGUGAUAAUCCUGGAACUAUCAUUACUCAAGUGCAACUUCGAGGAACCAACUAUGACGAGUGGGCAAGGGCUAUGCGGACUGCAUUGCGCGCCAAGAAGAAAUUCGGUUUUGUUGAUGGAACCGUGAAACCUCAUGCUGAUGACUCGGCUGAUUUGGAGGAUUAGUGGAUGGUGAAUUCAAUGUUGGUCUCCUGGAUACAGAAUACAAUUGAACCGAACCUGCGAUCAACUGUGACUUAUACAGAAGUUGCUAAGUUGCUGUGGGAUGAUAUCAAGGAAAGGUUCUCUGUUGGGAAUGGACCACGUGUGCAGCAACUCAAAUCUGAGUUGGCGAAUUGCAAGCAGCGAGGUAUGACUAUUUUGAAUUAUUAUGGAAAACUCAAGAUGUUGUGGGAAGAAUUGAGUAACUACGAGCAAUCGCCUGCUUGUCUAUGCGGCAAUUGUACGUGUAAUCUAGGUGCGGAAUGGGAUAAGAAACGAGAUGAAGAAAAGUUGCAUCAAUUCUUGAUGGGUCUUGAUGAAGCCGUGUACGGUGGUGUGCGGUCCCAUAUUUUAAGCACCGAGCCGCUGCCAAAGUUGAACCGUGCCUAUGCCAUAGUCAUUCAGGAGGAGCAGGUUCAGUCAAUGACACGUGCUAAAGAAGAACGAAGUGAACCUGUAGCAUUUUCCGUUCAAGCCGCGCAAGGAUCACAUGAUAACCGUGAUAAGACUUCUGUGCUUUGUAACCAUUGCAACAAGACUGGACAUGAAGCAUCUUCUUGUUUCCAGCUUAUUGGGUAUCCCGAAUGGUGGGGUGAACGACCGAAAGCCACGAGGAAUGCAGGUCGUGGUCGCGGCAAUUCACGACAGAAUGGUGGAAACAAUGGGCGUGGUCGUGGAGGUCCUGCUCGAGCCAACGUUGCUCAAGUCGCGACAGGGUCUAACAAUUCGUCUGGAGAACUCACGGAAUCAGCUGCAAGUGGUCUUAGUGGUUUGAGCAGUGAGCAGUGGAACACAUUGCUUAAUCUUUUGAACAGUAAAAAAGACAGCAACUCACGGAUCAGUGGUAAGCGUAAUUCAAUGGAGUGGAUUCUUGAUACUGGGGCCUCACAUCACAUGACAGGAAACAGAAAAAUCUUACGCGACAGUGUAUCUGUUAUUCCCUGUUCUAUUCGGCUACCUGAUGGAAAUGUGACAAUAGCAAAUACAAAAGGAACAGUUGUGCUUGCGAGCCACCUACGACUAAAUAAUGUUUUAUUUAUGCCAAGUUUAACUUGCAAUUUAAUUUCUGUAUCGCAACUGAUUCGAGAUGUCAAUUGUUUUAUCCAAUUUUAUGAUCAAUUAUGUGUGAUACAGGACCGCAUUACGAGGAUGCUGAUUGGAGCGGGUGAGCAGCGAGAGGGACUCUAUUAUUUUUGGGACAUUGGUUCGGCCUCCGGUCUAUCUAGUGUUGCCAACCGAGCUUGUGAUUUAUGGCAUCGAAGGCUGCUGUACCGUACAUCCGCCUUGGCCGUACAGCAGAAUCCAAAAAUCCCCCCUUUUUCACAAUAGAUUCCUCCCUUAAAUCCUCUCUCUCUUCUCCUCUAGAAUUCUAUUUAAAAUAAAAUACUAAUAUCUGAAAUGUUAAAUUCGUAAUUACAAAAAUAACCAAAAAUACAAAACACGUUAAAAUAAAAACUGCAGGUCCGCAGUUGACAGCACGCGCCCACGCCUUAUCAACAAAGUUCUUCUGCCGCUCAUAUUUUCUCCAAGAGAACAAUCAUCCUUAAACAUCAUCUUGUAGCUCAAUUUUAUCACCAAUCAAUAGAAUUGCACCUACAAAAGUAAAACACAAGUAAAUCACUAUUAUUAAGUGCAAAACAUUGAUAUUAAGGGAAGUAAANNNNNNNNNNNNNNNNNNNNNNNNNNNNNNNNNNNNNNNNNNNNNNNNNNNNNNNNNNNNNNNNNNNNNNNNNNNNNNNNNNNNNNNNNNNNNNNNNNNNNNNNNNNNNNNNNNNNNNNNNNNNNNNNNNNNNNNNNNNNNNNNNNNNNNNNNNNNNNNNNNNNNNNNNNNNNNNNNNNNNNNNNNNNNNNNNNNNNNNNNNNNNNNNNNNNNNNNNNNNNNNNNNNNNNNNNNNNNNNNNNNNNNNNNNNNNNNNNNNNNNNNNNNNNNNNNNNNNNNNNNNNNNNNNNNNNNNNNNNNNNNNNNNNNNNNNNNNNNNNNNNNNNNNNNNNNNNNNNNNNNNNNNNNNNNNNNNNNNNNNNNNNNNNNNNNNNNNNNNNNNNNNNNNNNNNNNNNNNNNNNNNNNNNNNNNNNNNNNNNNNNNNNNNNNNNNNNNNNNNNNNNNNNNNNNNNNNNNNNNNNNNNNNNNNNNNNNNNNNNNNNNNNNNNNNNNNNNNNNNNNNNNNNNNNNNNNNNNNNNNNNNNNNNNNNNNNNNNNNNNNNNNNNNNNNNNNNNNNNNNNNNNNNNNNNNNNNNNNNNNNNNNNNNNNNNNNNNNNNNNNNNNNNNNNNNNNNNNNNNNNNNNNNNNNNNNNNNNNNNNNNNNNNNNNNNNNNNNNNNNNNNNNNNNNNNNNNNNNNNNNNNNNNNNNNNNNNNNNNNNNNNNNNNNNNNNNNNNNNNNNNNNNNNNNNNNNNNNNNNNNNNNNNNNNNNNNNNNNNNNNNNNNNNNNNNNNNNNNNNNNNNNNNNNNNNNNNNNNNNNNNNNNNNNNNNNNNNNNNNNNNNNNNNNNNNNNNNNNNNNNNNNNNNNNNNNNNNNNNNNNNNNNNNNNNNNNNNNNNNNNNNNNNNNNNNNNNNNNNNNNNNNNNNNNNNNNNNNNNNNNNNNNNNNNNNNNNNNNNNNNNNNNNNNNNNNNNNNNNNNNNNNNNNNNNNNNNNNNNNNNNNNNNNNNNNNNNNNNNNNNNNNNNNNNNNNNNNNNNNNNNNNNNNNNNNNNNNNNNNNNNNNNNNNNNNNNNNNNNNNNNNNAGAAUUUAUGCACUUAUCUGAUUUCUUUGCUGAGCAUGGCAUUCAUCAUCAAACAUCUUGUGUGGGUACUUCUCAACAGAAUGGUCGAGUCGAACGCAAGCAUCGACACAUUCUCAAUGUUGCUCGCGCUCUGCGCUUUCAGGCUUUCUUACCCAUUGAAUUCUGGGGUGAAUGUGUUUUAACUGCUUGCUACUUGAUCAAUCGAACACCUUCUGUUCUUCUUGACGGACAGACUCCUUAUGAACGACUAUUUGGCAAGGCACCAUCUUAUGCAAAUAUUCGGUCAUUUGGUUGCCUCGCUUAUGCCUACAACCGUGGUCAUCGCGGUGAUAAAUUUGCUAGUCGAAGUCGUCGUUGUAUAUUCAUGGGUUAUCCCUUUGGUAAAAAGGGAUGGUAUUUAUAUGAUUUGGAGAGUGCGUCAUUCUUUACUUCCCGGGAUGUAACGUUCGUUGAGCAUGACUUUCCCUAUAAGGCUCUAACCGAACCAACUGCUACUGUCAUGCCUGCUCCUGAGCGUGAUGAACCGGUUUUAGCUGAGGAUUUAUCACAUGAUUUAAGCGCUCCUAUUGUCUCACCAGAUUCACAGGAUACAGAUGAUGUUCUUAAGACCAUUAAUACUCCAUCACCAGUACCCGCUUCUCCUACUUUUGAUGAGCAUGCUUCUGAUGACAGGGGGGCAUUGAAGUUAUUGAGACAUCAUUGCAACAACAACCGGCGUUGGGGCGCCAUCUUAGACAGCGGCAACAAUCGAUUAAGUUAAAAGAUUAUGUCUUACAUACUGUUCAGCAUUUGAGUCCCUCUUCGCGGCCUUCUUCAUGCUCACACGCUCAAUCACUUCCUGCAGGUAGUCCUUAUCCCAUACUUGAUUAUGUGAAUGGUAAUAAUUUUUCUGUUCGAAAUUGUGCUUUUCUAGCAGCGAUUACUGCAGGAGUUGAGCCUGCCUCUUUUGCUAAAGCCGUGAGAGAUCCUAAAUAGCGUGAGGCCAUGUAUUAUGAAUUGCAGGCACUGGAAAAUAAUGGCACAUGGACUGUUGUGUCUCUACCACCUGGAAAGCGUGCUAUAGGAUGUAAGUGGGUGUACCGGAUUAAGUACAAUGCCGACGGUACAAUUGAAAGAUACAAAGCUCGCUUGGUGAUCCUUGGGAACAAGCAAGUUGAAGGAAUUGAUUACACAGAGACAUUUGCUCCUGUCGCAAAACUUGUUACAGUUCGAACUUUUUUAGCUGUUGCUGCGGCUAGGAAUUGGGAGCUUCAUCAGAUGGAUGUUCACAAUGCUUUCUUACACGGUGAGCUUAAUGAAGAAGUUUACAUGCGCUUACCGCCUGGUUUCACCUCAAACGAAUCUGGAAUGGUUUGUCGUCUAAGAAAGUCAUUAUAUGGAUUAAAGCAAGCUCCCCGUUGUUGGUUUGCAAAGUUGGCAGCAGCUUUGAAGACUUACGGCUUUGCUCAAUCGAGCUCGGAUUAUUCUUUUUUUACCUUGUAUCGGGAUAACAUACAUCUACUUAUGCUUGUGUAUGUUGACGAUAUAAUUGUUUCGGGAAACAACAGCGAAGCUAUUCAUGUAUUCAAAAGGUAUUUGAGUGAUUGUUUUUAUAUGAAAGAUCUAGGUCCAUUGAAAUAUUUUUUGGGUAUUGAAGUUGCAAGAAAUCCGACAGGAAUCUUCCUGUUUCAGCGGAAGUAUGUGUUAGAUAUUAUCUCUGAGGCUGGAUUACUUGGUGCAAAACCAGCCCCAUUUCCCUUGGAACCGAAUCAUCAGCUAGCUUUGGUCGAAGGCCUUUAUUUUUCUGAUCCUGCGAAAUAUAGACGACUCGUCGGUAGAUUAAUUUAUCUUUCCGCUACAAGGCCAGAGUUGUCUUAUUCGGUUCAUCUGCUUUCUCAAUUUAUGCAGCACCCGCGGGAGCGACAUUGGGACUCAACUUUGCGGGUAGUUCGCUAUCUGAAAGGUAACCCUGGUCAAGGUGUGUUUUUAAGCUUAGAUUGUGAUUUGCAACUCUAUGGGUGGUGUGAUUCUGAUUGGGCAAGCUGCCCCCUAUCUCGGCGUUCUUUAUCUGGGUGGUUUGUCAUGCUUGGAUCCUCUCCUAUAUCCUGGAAAUCUAAGAAACAACACACUGUUGCGCGAUCCUCUGCUGAGGCCGAGUAUCGUGCCAUGGCAACAAUUACAUGUGAGCUCAAGUGGCUCAAAGGGUUGUUGAUGUCUCUCGGAGUUGAUCACUCACGACCCAUGCACAUGUAUUGUGACAGCCAGGCUGCUCUUCAUCUAGCUGCCAAUCNNNNNNNNNNNNNNNNNNNNNNNNNNNNNNNNNNNNNNNNNNNNNNNNNNNNNNNNNNNNNNNUGUUAACUCACGUGUAUAUAUAUAUAUAUAGCAAGUUACGUUUAUGUAUAGCAAGUUACGUUAGCAAGUUACGUGUUAUAUGUUUCCUAGUUUGAUAGGAUUUCCUUUCCUUGUGAACUAGGGUAAUUCUUACGUGUAUAUAUAUAUUGAUCAAUAAGAGUGCAGAGGGAAGACUAUGAAAGCCACUGCUAUUUUUACAUCGUAAAAUUCUACAGGCCAAGAUUUGAACCUCUAGAGAAUUGCUAACCUCUGCAGAUUUGUCUUGUUUAUUUAUCUCUCAUUUGUCGUAAGAGAAUGUUGAAGUUAUAAUGAAAUACGGCUUACGAUAUUUAUCAGUUUUGUUCAUAAUAAUUGUUAAUUAUUCAUUUCUUUUAAAUUUAUUUUUGAGCAAAUUUCUGGGGCCUCCUUGGAAACAAACUGAGAUGUUGUAACAUUGACAGAAUUAUUCUUUUAAUUGAGUUUUUUUUUCUUCCUUAUGCCUGUAAAAUUGACAGAAUUUUCAAAUUUAUUCUUGUGUAAUUUUUCUGGUUUCAUGUCUUCAAUAGAGUAUUUAUAGAAAUAAAUCGAGAUUGAACCAAUCAGUGAAAAUGGUGAUACUUGGGAUUUUUUGAGUCUUUGCUUUUUUUCUUUACUUUAAAAGCUAAUUUCUUUAGCUUUACAUUUGAUUUGAAUUUUUUGUUUCUCUUCUUUGCAGCCAACCAAUGAAAAUGGUGAUGCUCGCGCUCCAUUAAGCAUAGAUUUAACAGGAACCACAUUGGUGCGCCUAGUUGCAAGAUGAGAACUGCUUUGCAAAGCAUGCUAAGGAUUUAGUUUCUGAAGGGCAAGCUUGCUGGUUGGGUAUAAAUAUUCCAAUUGCCAAUACCACCUUGUGUAAGCACAAAAUAUGGUCUCCAUUUGUUUUUAGCUUUAUAUUUGUUUGUAUAGGUAUAUGAUACUGGAUUUCAAUUUGAGAAUUCGUGUAGUAUUUUUUUCACUGUUAGAUUUAGUUAGAUCAAAGUUAUUUAAGUGCUAAAUUGUUAUAAUUAAGUUUGUAUGCAUUUGAGUACUUUAUAUGUAAAUGAUAAUUAUAUCAACGUGUAAUGUAAAUUGAAAUUUGCAAAUGCGGCUUCAAUUAUGGACAAUGGAUGAUAAAGAUUUAUAAAUUUUAAUUUUAGUGAAAAUUUAAUUUAAAAAAAAUUGAAGCAUAGUAAUUUUAAAUCACUAUUGUUUUUUCUUUUAACUCACGCAAAAGAUGAUGGUUCUUAUUUAAGAAUAGUCAUCAAAGAUCAAUAUAAGAUGACUAUUAUCAUUGAAAACAAUCAUUGAAUGUCUUAAAAAUACAUUAGAAGAUGAUGGUUUCAUUUGAAAACCGUGAUUAAAGUUACGUUAUCAAUAUUGUCAUUAAACAUAAAUUAUGUAAAUAAAACAUAAAAUUUGUAAAUUUAACAUAAAACUUGUAAAUCAACAUUAACUAUAAAAUAAAACAUAAAUUUUAGAAAUUAAACAUAAGACUUCUAAAUGUAAAGUAAAAUGAGUAAAUUAAUAUAAAACUAGUAAAUUAAUUUAUUAUUAGUAAAUAAAACAAAAACUUGCAAAUAUAACAUAAAGCUCAUAAAUCAACAUUAAGUGCAAAAUAAAACAAAAAGUUUAGAAAUUAAACAUAAGAUUUGUAAAUAGAAAUAAAACAAUUAAAUUAAUAUAAAACUAGUAAAUUGAUGUAUUAUUAGUAAACAAAACUAAAACUUGCAAAAAUAACUUAAAACUAGUAAAUUAACAUUAACUGUAAAAUAAAACAUAAAUUUUGAAAAUGAAACAAAAGACUUGUAAAUAGAAGGUAAAACAAGUAAAUUACUAUAAAACUGAUAAAUUGAUGUAUUACUGGUAAAUAAAACAAAAAUUUACAAAUAUAACAUAAAACUAGUAAAUCAACAUUAAGUUCAAAAUAAAACAUAAAUUUUGAAAAUGGAACAUAAGACUUGCAAAUGAAAGGUAAAACAAGUCAAUUAAUAUAAACUAGUAAAUUAAUGUAUUACUGGUAAACAAUACAAAAAAUUGCAAAUAUGACAUAAAACUAGUAAAUCAAUACUAACUAUAAAAUAAAACAUAAAUUUUAGAAAUGAAACAUAAGACUUGUAAAAAGAAAGUAAAAUAAGUGAAUUAUUAUAAAACCAGUAAACUAAUGUAUUACUGGUAAAUAAAAUGAAAACUUAUAAAUAUAACAUAAAACAAGUAAAUCAACAUUAAGUGCAAAAGAAAACAUAAAUUUUAGAAAUUGAACAUAAGACUUGUAAAUAAAAUGUAAAACAAGUAAAUUAAUAUAAAGUAGUGAAUUAAUGUAUUACUGGUAAACAAAACAACAACAUGCAAAUGUAACAUGAAACUAGUACAUCAACAAUAACUUAAAAAAAAAACAUAAAUUUUGGAAAUGAAAUAUAAGACUUGUAAAAUGAAGAUAAAAUAAGUAAAUUACUUUAAAACUGGUAAAUUAAUGUAUUACUGGUAAAUAAAAUAAAAACUUAUAAAUAUAACAUAAGACAAGUAAACCAACAUUAAAUACAAAAUAAAACAUAAAAGUUUGUAAAUUAUGCCUAAAACUUAUAAAUAAAAGAUAAAAUAAGUAAAUUAAUAGUUACUUAAAAAAAUUCACAAUUGUAAAAUUAAAACUCGUUAUAAUGUUUAUUACCUUAUAUAUUUAUUAAUUUUUUUAUAUGUAAAUUAAAUAACAUUAGUUUUGCAUUUAUAUAAUACAUGUGAUGUUUUUAUUAAGGAUGAAAUUUAUGCUCAAAAUCGGAGUUUGUAAAAAAUAUUAUUUUAAUAUCUUUCAUAGUUGUUGUAAGAUAAGUUGAUUUUGGAUCUUUCUACACUUCCUCAACAACAACUUUAAAUAGUCUCCAAAUAGAAGUAAAAAGUUUGAGACUAUGCAUAAUACUCAAAAUUAGAUAUAAUUUUAUUGAUAUAUCAUAUAUUUAUCUAGUAAUAUAAGAAUAUUUUUUUCUUUUGUUUUUACUUGAUCCACAUCAAGAUAAAUAAUUGAGCUUAAUUAACAUGUGUAAUAAAUAGAUAUCAUUAUAGAAAAUGGGGAAAAAAUGUAUACAAAUUUCCUAGAAUAAAUAUAGAAUUUAUGGUAACCAAUUCAAUAGAACUUAUUCCACUUUUUUUUAGUAUAACUUUUUUGUUUAAUUAAUGAGUAAUUUUUUUGUUUAAUUAAAGAAAAUUAUUUUUUGUAAAUGAAUAAAAUAUUUUUCACUAAAAUUCUAUAGAAAUAAUGUUAAUUUUUAAAUAAUUAAUAACCUUGUCUGAAUUUACUAGUUUUACUUAACAUUUACUAAUUCUAUGUGUAAUUUAUAAAAUUUAUGUCUAUCACGGUAUUGAUGCCGUAAUUUUCAUUACGGCGUUAUAGAAUUUUCCUUGAAAACCAUCAUUAAAAAGGUACAUUUAAUGAUGGUUAUGAAUAAAAAACCGUCAUAAAAAUUUAAUGAAAAAGUGUAAUAUAUGAUUGUUAUUUAAAUAACCGUCAUUAAAUGUAUCUUUUUAAUGAUGGAUUUUAUCCCGGAAAUGGUGCUCUGAAGGAAUGGAGGGAGAAGAGAACAGUACGACUGAGGAUCGAGAUCUGGUCUCUUUGCCUCAGAAGAAUGUAUAUUUUAUAAAGCAGAUCUGAUACAGAUCAGUCUGCAAGCAUGCUUUGUAAAAGAAAAUGCUUUAAAAUUAAAUUGCAAAAAUUUAAAUGCUCAGAAAUUAAAUUACAUGAAUUGAAAUUGCUUUACAAAUAAAACUAGAUCAGAGAUCUAGACAUACACUUUGCUUUUGUUGUUGUUGCUUUACAAUAUUUCAAAUCUUUCCAGAAGGGAAGAUUGAAAGACGGGAAGAUUAUUGAAGGCAAAGAACUAGUCUGAUUACUCAAAGCUCUAAGAUAGAACUAUUGCGUAAACAGAAAAUUUCUUUGAACUCUUCUUGCUUUAGAGAGAGUUUUAGAGAGAAGGAGGAGAAGAGAGAGAAAUAGAAGCUCAAAAUAAAACCCGUGGGGAGUCUUAGUCUUCCUCAUGGAUUAUAUACAAAAGUCAUAAAAUGUACAGUUACAUUUGUACUAUUCACUGUAGCGGGUUUGUAAGUGCACAGUAACAAAUGGAAAGGUGUACAGUAGAGCAGGAGCUUUAGUGCUGAUGUCGAGCAGAAAUGCUGAGCAGAGAUCUUUGGAUGCCGAGCAGGAAUGCUGAGCAGGAAUCUUUAGAUGCCGAGCAGGAAUGCUGAGCAGAGAAACUUUGUAAAGCGGGUGAAGAGACAUGUGCGCUCUCACUUGUGUCCAGAGGACCACCCGAGGAGAGAAAAAGCAAGAAAAUGCAAAAGUUUUUUUUUUUUUUUUUGAAUAGUUACAUGAACUAUUUACAGUGCUUUAUUGGAGAGAAAAUUCCGAAACAAUCAUCUUCGUUUUCAUCUCCAAGAGAGACGGUAGGCUCGUCGUCAUCAUUGUCUUCGUCUUCAGUAGAGUCUGCAACUGAGGACUUGGAUCGAGAAGCGAGGAGCUGUUCCAUUGCUUUGAAAUAUUCUUCUUCGGUUUUGGCACUUGCGAGGAGGGCUUGGGCUUUGGAUUUUUGAGUGAGGAAAGUGCCUUGGGCUUUAAUAUCUUUAAUAGCUGGUUGUAGGUGGCCCUGAGCAGAAAGCCAGUUUUGGACAAGGUUGGUAGUUAAUUUGGUCUGCUCGUCAAAUCUGCUGUACCGUACAUCCGCCUUGGCCGUACAGCAGAAGGCCAACUUCAAUUCACCAAACCAAGGUUCAUCUCGUGUAGUGAUUGUGGACUCGUACAAGGAUAUUGAGUAGACGGUUGAUGUAUCAGACUCUACCCUAUCUUUCGUAGCAUGCAUUCCCAUCCGUGUCGCAACUGAUUUGGUAAACUACGUGUCCGGUGCACGGAGAACUGCCUUCGGUCCCCCAAACUGACUUACUCGUGGCAACCUUCCGGCCGCCCAACGACCUAUAACGCUAGUCACUACUCCCACUGGGGCUAGGAAGUAAGCCCCACAACCCAAAGCGGCGAAGAACAAAUAGAAUUUGCUACAAAACUGCUGUACCGUACAUCCGCCUUGGCCGUACAGCAGACCACCUCUUGGCAAAGUAGGCUGAUGGGCAAGCCCCCUCUUUUCGAAAUGGUGUGGGGCGGAGGCUGUUGCCCCGU